This 360-nucleotide ribosomal RNA is filed under the name Triticum aestivum (bread wheat). Its description in RNAcentral is "partial small subunit ribosomal RNA". Lineage: Eukaryota; Viridiplantae; Streptophyta; Magnoliopsida; Poales; Poaceae. The record is from RNAcentral.
AUGUUUAGGAGCAGAUGGGCAGGCCCUUACCCUGGUGCUGCCACCAGCAACAUGAUGCUUGAGGCUGGUGACGCCGCCGCUGCGCCCAACCAUGGGGCAGUACUUGCACUUCCAGUUUCUGUUUCCGUCGAUGAUGAUACCAUGCUGCCAUCCCUUACGAUCCCUGAUUUUCAGGGAACCUUGUGCGCUCUGCCAAAUUUAGGAGUGUUAGAUAGUUGUACAGAUCAGAUCAGGUUCCAUUCGGAAAAAAAAAAGAUCAGAUCAGGUUCUCUCUGCUGCAAUCUAAAAAAGACUGCCAUGCCAGAGUUGGAGCACACGAGAUUUUUGUCUAUUGGUUUUGUGAGUUGUUUUGCCCCAUAA